UACGUAGGGACCAAGCGUUGUUCGGUUUUACUGGGCGUAAAGGGCGCGUAGGCGGCGCUGUAAGUCACUUGUGAAAUCUCCGGGCUUAACUCGGAACGGUCAAGUGAUACUGCAGUGCUAGAGUGCAGAAAGGGCAAUCGGAAUUCUUGGUGUAGCGGUGAAAUGCGUAGAUAUCAAGAGGACCACCUGAGGCGAAGGCGGGUUGCUCGGCUGACACUGACGCUGACAGCGCGAAAGCCAGGGGAGCAAACGGG
Molecule: ribosomal RNA, 254 nt
Filed under: uncultured bacterium
Lineage: Bacteria
Description: partial 16S ribosomal RNA
Rfam family: Bacterial small subunit ribosomal RNA
Source: RNAcentral